CCCGCAGAAGAAGCACCGGCUAACUCCGUGCCAGCAGCCGCGGUAAUACGGAGGGUGCAAGCGUUAAUCGGAAUUACUGGGCGUAAAGCGCACGCAGGCGGUUUGUUAAGUCAGAUGUGAAAUCCCCGGGCUCAACCUGGGAACUGCAUCUGAUACUGGCAAGCUUGAGUCUCGUAGAGGGGGGUAGAAUUCCAGGUGUAGCGGUGAAAUGCGUAGAGAUCUGGAGGAAUACCGGUGGCGAAGGCGGCCCCCUGGACGAAGACUGAC
This 267-nucleotide ribosomal RNA is filed under the name Escherichia coli. RNAcentral describes it as "partial 16S ribosomal RNA". It matches the Rfam family "Bacterial small subunit ribosomal RNA", at positions 478 to 744 of the family's 1533-position model. The record is from RNAcentral. Lineage: Bacteria; Pseudomonadati; Pseudomonadota; Gammaproteobacteria; Enterobacterales; Enterobacteriaceae.